Molecule: unclassified non-coding RNA, 237 nt
Filed under: Ascomycota sp.
Lineage: Eukaryota; Fungi; Ascomycota
Description: partial contains small subunit ribosomal RNA, internal transcribed spacer 1, and 5.8S ribosomal RNA
Rfam family: Eukaryotic small subunit ribosomal RNA (bases 1-47)
Source: RNAcentral
AAAGUCGUAACAAGGUUUCCGUAGGUGAACCUGCGGAAGGAUCAUUAUCGUUUGCUCGCGGCGCCGCUCAGGGCAACCUGGCGGCGCUCAGCUUGCUACCCUUGCCUAUCACACCCACUGUUACUUCCCUCGGUGGAUCCGUCCACCGCGGGGAACCCCAAACCCACUUGUAUCGAAGCAUCAAUCUUCUAACUACCAUAAUAAUCACAACUUUCAACAAUGGAUCUCUUGGCUCUG